CGAUUAAUAUAUACACACGUAUUUUCUAUUUUUGGAUAAAAUUGUUAAAAUUAUAUUUUAAUUAAAAUAUUUUAAUUAAAUUAGUGUUAUCUGUUUGACGUGUAAUUCACCUCUUUCAACAACAUCCGUCACUAACCGUCCCUAGAGCAAGUGGCAAAGAAUUUGAUGGUUGAAAUUCAAGAUCCCAAGUUCAAAUCCUAAUCGAUUCACAUUUCCAGCUAAGUUUAUUUCUAAAUGAAAUAAACGAAGCGGAUACCGUACUACCUAUCUCUAAAAAAAAUAAAACAACAUCCCUCGAGUGGAGGAAAUCUAUCUGUAACAAGCAAUUAUAUCUCUCUUCUUAAAAAAAAAUACAAUAAAAAUAUUUUUUUAUUAAUCAUAACGGAACAAGUGAAUUCAAGAAAAAUAAUUUUAUUGAUUAAGAAUACCACGUCAGUAUUAUAACUGAUACAUUCUAUUUUUUUUUUUUU
Molecule: long non-coding RNA, 470 nt
Filed under: Ananas comosus (pineapple)
Lineage: Eukaryota; Viridiplantae; Streptophyta; Magnoliopsida; Poales; Bromeliaceae
Description: long non-coding RNA (ACOM_LNC040291)
Source: RNAcentral